GAUGAACGCUGGCGGCGUGCCUAAUACAUGCAAGUCGAGCGAACAGACGAGGAGCUUGCUCCUCUGACGUUAGCGGCGGACGGGUGAGUAACACGUGGUUAACCUACCUAUAAGACUGGGAUAACUUCGGGAAACCGGAGCUAAUACCGGAUAAUAUAUUGAACCGCAUGGUUCAAUAGUGAAGGACGGUUUUGCUGUCACUUAUAGAUGGAUCCGCGCCGCAUUAGCUAGUUGGUAAGGUAACGGCUUACCAAGGCGACGAUGCGUAGCCGACCUGAGAGGGUGAUCGGCCACACUGGAACUGAGACACGGUCCAGACUCCUACGGGAGGCAGCAGUAGGGAAUCUUCCGCAAUGGGCGAAAGCCUGACGGAGCAACGCCGCGUGAGUGAUGAAGGUCUUCGGAUCGUAAAACUCUGUUAUUAGGGAAGAACAAAUGUGUAAGUAACUAUGCACGUCUUGACGGUACCUAAUCAGAAAGCCACGGCUAACUACGUG
Molecule: ribosomal RNA, 497 nt
Filed under: uncultured bacterium
Lineage: Bacteria
Description: partial 16S ribosomal RNA
Rfam family: Bacterial small subunit ribosomal RNA
Source: RNAcentral